RNAcentral lists this long non-coding RNA (646 nucleotides) under Sinocyclocheilus grahami. Its description in RNAcentral is "lncRNA (ENSSGRG00000017692.1)". Lineage: Eukaryota; Metazoa; Chordata; Actinopteri; Cypriniformes; Cyprinidae. The record is from RNAcentral.
GUACUUUUUCUUAUUAUUCUUCUUCUUCCAGUGUACCACCACAAAACGGUGAAGAAGCACCUUUCAAGAUCGAACCAGAAUAUAUAGAAGUGACAGAUUCUGAACUGGGAACGAACAAUAAUGUCUCGGUUUUGGCUUAUCCGGCUGAAUUUAGAGGUUUCAUGUUGGACGCUCGUAAGUGUGAUAAGUGUGAGUCUGCUGGCAUGUUUAAUUUGAUUAACCCGGACAACAGCAUACUCAUCUGUGGUGUGAGUCCUGCCCUGCACCCACUACACAUAUUCGUUAUCCAUUUUUACACCAUGUGUUAAAUGUUAUAGCAAUUAAUUCCUUAAACUGAAUUGCACUGUUUAUGAUAUGGAUAUAUUAUCAGGGCCAUGCUGUGGCUCAAAAAAAUAACCAAAGAAAAAGGACAGUUCAAGUGUUGUGGACCCCCGAAGAGACUGGAGUGUUUUUCUUCAGAGCUGUAUUCGUUGAAGAAUACAGUAAGGUUUGGCUAAGGAAGGCAAUCAUAUUCACGUCGACUGCACCACCAACCACUGAAGCCACCAGUCACAGUGCACAAACAAGUCCAACAGAUAUGUCACAGACACAGACUUCACCACCGACCUCUGAAGCCACAAGUACACAAAAAAAAACUACUACAAGC